RNAcentral lists this small nuclear RNA (18 nucleotides) under Arabidopsis thaliana (thale cress). RNAcentral describes it as "snRNA_14655". Lineage: Eukaryota; Viridiplantae; Streptophyta; Magnoliopsida; Brassicales; Brassicaceae. The record is from RNAcentral.
GAAGAGCCCAGCUUGAAA